AGAGUUUGAUCAUGGCUCAGGACGAACGCUGGCGGCGUGCUUAACACAUGCAAGUCGAACGGAAAGGCCCUGCUUUUGUGGGGUGCUCGAGUGGCGAACGGGUGAGUAACACGUGAGUAACCUGCCCUUGACUUUGGGAUAACUUCAGGAAACUGGGGCUAAUACCGGAUAGGAGCUCCUGCUGCAUGGUGGGGGUUGGAAAGUUUCGGCGGUUGGGGAUGGACUCGCGGCUUAUCAGCUUGUUGGUGGGGUAGUGGCUUACCAAGGCUUUGACGGGUAGCCGGCCUGAGAGGGUGACCGGCCACAUUGGGACUGAGAUACGGCCCAGACUCCUACGGGAGGCAGCAGUGGGGAAUAUUGCACAAUGGGCGGAAGCCUGAUGCAGCAACGCCGCGUGCGGGAUGACGGCCUUCGGGUUGUAAACCGCUUUCGCCUGUGACGAAGCGUGAGUGACGGUAAUGGGUAAAGAAGCACCGGCUAACUACGUGCCAGCAGCCGCGGUGAUACGUAGGGUGCGAGCGUUGUCCGGAUUUAUUGGGCGUAAAGGGCUCGUAGGUGGUUGAUCGCGUCGGAAGUGUAAUCUUGGGGCUUAACCCUGAGCGUGCUUUCGAUACGGGUUGACUUGAGGAAGGUAGGGGAGAAUGGAAUUCCUGGUGGAGCGGUGGAAUGCGCAGAUAUCAGGAGGAACACCAGUGGCGAAGGCGGUUCUCUGGGCCUUUCCUGACGCUGAGGAGCGAAAGCGUGGGGAGCGAACAGGCUUAGAUACCCUGGUAGUCCACGCUGUAAACGGUGGGUACUAGGUGUGGGGUCCAUUCCACGGGUUCCGUGCCGUAGCUAACGCUUUAAGUACCCCGCCUGGGGAGUACGGCCGCAAGGCUAAACUCAAAGGAAUUGACGGGGCCCCGCACAAGCGGCGGAGCAUGCGGAUUAAUUCGAUGCAACGCGUAGAACCUUACCUGGGUUUGACAUGGAUCGGGAGUGCUCAGAGAUGGGUGUGCCUCUUUUGGGGUCGGUUCACAGGUGGUGCAUGGCUGUCGUCAGCUCGUGUCGUGAGAUGUUGGGUUAAGUCCCGCAACGAGCGCAACCCUUGUUCACUGUUGCCAGCACGUUAUGGUGGGGACUCAGUGGAGACCGCCGGGGUCAACUCGGAGGAAGGUGGGGAUGACGUCAAGUCAUCAUGCCCCUUAUGUCCAGGGCUUCACGCAUGCUACAAUGGCUGGUACAGAGAGUGGCGAGCCUGUGAGGGUGAGCGAAUCUCGGAAAGCCGGUCUCAGUUCGGAUUGGGGUCUGCAACUCGACCUCAUGAAGUCGGAGUCGCUAGUAAUCGCAGAUCAGCAACGCUGCGGUGAAUACGUUCCCGGGGCUUGUACACACCGCCCGUCAAGUCAUGAAAGUUGGUAACACCCGAAGCCGGUGGCCUAACCGUUGUGGGGGAGCCGUCGAAGGUGGGACUGGUGAUUAGGACUAAGUCGUAACAAGGUAACC
This 1485-nucleotide ribosomal RNA is filed under the name Cutibacterium acnes. Its description in RNAcentral is "bacterial SSU rRNA". It matches the Rfam family "Bacterial small subunit ribosomal RNA". The record is from RNAcentral. Lineage: Bacteria; Bacillati; Actinomycetota; Actinomycetes; Propionibacteriales; Propionibacteriaceae.